CACCGCGGUUACACGGGAUAGCCCAAGUCGACAGCCCACGGCGUAAAGCGUGGUUAGGGCAAUAAUAACACUAAAGCCGAAUUCCCCUCUCGCUGUUAUACGCGCUCAGGAAUAAGAAGCUCAACUACGAAAGUGGCUUUAUUUAAACCCCUGAACCCACGAAAGUUUUGAUA
RNAcentral lists this ribosomal RNA (173 nucleotides) under Cirrhitops hubbardi. RNAcentral's name for it is "partial 12S rRNA". The record is from RNAcentral. Lineage: Eukaryota; Metazoa; Chordata; Actinopteri; Centrarchiformes; Cirrhitidae.